GCCCGUACUAUAAGAAUCUUCUAUCUUCUCAUUCGUCGGAUUAUUUUCCCAUGCGCUUCGAAUUGACAAGGACCAAUUCUGUUCAUAUCUUUCCAAAAAUCAUCUUAACUCGUUUCAAGGAACUAACUUUUUUUUUUUUCUUUCCCAGUCACCACUUCAGAAGUAAUCAAAAGCCAUUGAGAAACCAAGGCGAUGUGAUACAGUAUUAGUUGUUAGGCCAAGAUCUAGGUGAAGAAAUAUUGUACUCCUCUGACCCUUAUAGUUUGAUUCCAACUGCGACCUAAAUCGUUUCGUUUGGACUACUUGGGACGUACGUGUGAAUUCUUUUCUACAUCUCUUG
This 340-nucleotide long non-coding RNA is filed under the name Capsella rubella. Its description in RNAcentral is "long non-coding RNA (CRUB_LNC001392)". Lineage: Eukaryota; Viridiplantae; Streptophyta; Magnoliopsida; Brassicales; Brassicaceae. The record is from RNAcentral.